UGUGUCGACCAGGAACAAAGAAAGAGGGGAAACACACCCCCCCCCCCAUUUUGACCUAAUCUUUUAAAUCUCCUAAAUUGAAAGGCUAAAAGUGUGUAAAUCUUAUGCAUGAACCGAAAUUAGUGAUCACCUAAGCAAGAGGAUCAUAAGGUUGUUCUUUAUAGCGACUCGAGUGAUAGAGCGCGUGAUAAAGCCAGGAGCGACACGAGACUUAAAGGAAAGCUCUAAGGUAAGUACGAAGUUAGGACCCCGGAUGAAGAUCAAAUCACGUCAAGAACAGAACACUUUCCAAAGGCUUGUUAGCUUCCGUUUUUGUUAAUAUGCUUCUGAAAUGUAAAACCUGUGGAUUUGUAUUUUGAAUCUAAUCAUUGCUACCUUGUGUA
This is a long non-coding RNA of Helianthus annuus (common sunflower), 383 nucleotides long. RefSeq lists it as uncharacterized. Lineage: Eukaryota; Viridiplantae; Streptophyta; Magnoliopsida; Asterales; Asteraceae. The transcript is spliced from 3 exons. The record is from RefSeq and is a predicted model, not a curated record.